UCCUUGGUGGUCUAGUGGUUAGGAUUCGGCGCCCUCACUGCCACGGCCCAGGUUGAAUCCUGGUCAGGGAA
This is a non-coding RNA of Merluccius polli (Benguela hake), 71 nucleotides long. The record is from the annotation of a GenBank genome assembly. NCBI's taxonomy places the organism in Eukaryota, Metazoa, Chordata, Actinopteri, Gadiformes, Merlucciidae.